GAUGAACGCUAGCGGCAGGCCUAACACAUGCAAGUCGAGGGGUAACAUAGAAAAGCUUGCUUUUCUGAUGACGACCGGCGCACGGGUGCGUAACGCGUAUACAACCUACCUUUUAGCGGGGAAUAGCCCAGGGAAACUUGGAUUAAUGCCCCAUAGUAUAUAGACUUCUCCUGAAGUUUAUAUUAAACAUUUAUGGCCAUUAGAUGGGUAUGCGUCCUAUUAGCUAGUUGGUGUGGUAACGGCACACCAAGGCUACGAUAGGUAGGGGUCCUGAGAGGGAGAUCCCCACACUGGUACUGAGACACGGACCAGACUCCUACGGGAGGCAGCAGUGAGGAAUAUUGGACAAUGGGCGAGAGCCUGAUCCAGCCAUGCCGCGUGCAGGAAGACUGCCCUAUGGGUUGUAAACUGCUUUUACGGAGGAAGAACCACCCCCACGUGUGGGGGUUUGACGGUACUCUGCGAAUAAGGAUCGGCUAACUCCGUG
Molecule: ribosomal RNA, 487 nt
Filed under: uncultured bacterium
Lineage: Bacteria
Description: bacterial SSU rRNA
Rfam family: Bacterial small subunit ribosomal RNA
Source: RNAcentral